This 45-nucleotide non-coding RNA is filed under the name Trypanosoma brucei brucei. The record is from RNAcentral. Lineage: Eukaryota; Euglenozoa; Kinetoplastea; Trypanosomatida; Trypanosomatidae.
AUCAAACUAAAUCAGUGAGAUGUCAGUAUAGAUGAACAUGAUAUU